Molecule: ribosomal RNA, 616 nt
Filed under: uncultured bacterium
Lineage: Bacteria
Description: bacterial SSU rRNA
Rfam family: Bacterial small subunit ribosomal RNA
Source: RNAcentral
AAACUCAAAGGAAUUGACGGGGACCCGCACAAGCGGUGGAUUAUGUGGUUUAAUUCGAUGCAACGCGAAGAACCUUACCUGGACUUGACAUGUUAGUGAAACUUUGGUGAAAGCCAAAGCCUCUGCGAGCUUGCUCAAGGACACUAUCACAGGUGAUGCAUGGCUGUCGUCAGCUCGUGUCGUGAGAUGUUCGGUUAAGUCCGAUAACGAGCGCAACCCCUAUCCUUAGUUGCCAGCACGUAAUGGUGGGGACUCUAGGGAAACUGCCCGGGAUAACCGGAAGGAAGGUGGGGUCGACGUCAAGUCAGUAUGUCCCUUACGUUCAGGGCUACACACGUAAUACAAUGGGGAGUACAGAGGGUAGCAAUACUGCGAAGUGGAGCCAAUCCCAAAAAACUUCCCCAAGUUCGGAUUGCAGUCUGCAACUCGACUGCAUGAAGCAGGAAUCGCUAGUAAUCGCGCAUCAGCAUGGCGCGGUGAAUACGUUCCCGGGUCUUGUACACACCGCCCGUCACACCAUGGAAGCCGGUAGCACCCAAUGUCAGUGUCCUAACCUUCGGGGAGGAGCUGCUUAAGGUGAGAUUGGUAACUGGGGUGAAGUCGUAACAAGGUAACC